Amborella trichopoda is the source of this 1250-nucleotide RNA transcript. It is a transcript of the gene named 3'-5'-exoribonuclease family protein, with no coding region annotated. The record is from RefSeq and is a predicted model, not a curated record. NCBI's taxonomy places the organism in Eukaryota, Viridiplantae, Streptophyta, Magnoliopsida, Amborellales, Amborellaceae.
UUUCCCUUUCCUGCAUGUUACGCUGUAGUUUGCAUCUUACUCUGUAGUUUGAGUGUGCCCAGUGUUCCCGCCGUCUUGUCCAUUGCAGGAGUCACAGAAGUUCUCUGUCUUUGUGCCCCCCUACAACUGCGACGUUUGUGUUGAGAUGGAGUAUGUGAGUCCAGAAGGUCUUCGUUUAGACGGCCGGCGUCCAUUGGAGAUGAGGCAGAUAAAUGCUGAGAUAGGCGUGGUGGUUAAAGCUGAUGGCUCUGCAGUUUUUGAGAUGGGCAAUACCAAAGUCAUAGCUGCUGUAUAUGGGCCAAGAGAGGUCCAGAACAGGAGCCAACAGCUUAGUGACCAAGCACUGGUAAGAUGUGAGUAUAGCAUGGCCAAUUUCAGCACUGGAGAUCGCUUGAGAAGACCAAAAGGAGACAGACGUUCAUCAGAGAUAUCCCUCGUCAUUCGUCAAACAAUGGAGGCUUGUAUACUGACUCACCUUAUGCCUCGGUCUCAGAUUGACAUCUAUGUGCAAGUUCUUCAAGCUGAUGGAGGAACAAGGUCUGCAUGUAUCAAUGCUGCCACAUUGGCUUUGGCAGAUGCUGGAAUUCCAAUGCGCGACCUAAUUACAUCAUGCAGUGCUGGAUACCUUGUCAACACUCCUUUGUUGGAUCUGAAUUAUGUGGAAGAUAGUGCUGGAGGUCCAGAUUUAACUGUGGGUAUUCUAGCAAAAAUGGAUAAAGUAACGCUUCUUCAGAUGUGCUCAACGACUGCUGUACUCAAGGUCUUGCGCAUAGCUAGUAUAAAGUCAUUCACAAAUCUAAGAGUAAUGCAAGUCAAGGAUAUUGUCUAAUGUGAUCUCACUGGUACAAGAUGGACGCAAAACUACCAAUGCAUAUAUUUGAAAAAGUCAUGCAAGUAGCAAUGGAGGGAUGCAGGGCAGUUGCUCAAUACAUCCGAGAAGUGUUGUUAGAGAAUACCAAGGAGUUGGAAUAUCGAAGGGGUUUGUAAUUUAGAGGCUUAUUGCCCUCUUUCCCUUGAAGUUCCAUGAAAACUACCACAUUGUCGCGUGUGAUUGGAAACCUGCAAUUCAUUCCUCAUCUACAUGUUUCCUCAUUUCUUUCUGUUUGUGUUUUGCAUGCGAGUGGCUGUACUUUUCAAUAGAACUUAUUUAUGCAACUUGGAUACCAAGUGAUUUUUCCCUUUUCUGUUUCCCUAUUAUCAUAAUUUUCUUUAGGCACAUUACUUAUCCACCGAUUCCUUUUCUUUUGUGU